GUUUUUGUAGUUGAAUAACAACGGUGGUUUUUCGUGCCGCAGGUUUUGGUUGAUGCCAAAUAAAAAUA
Molecule: transfer RNA, 68 nt
Filed under: Bavayia robusta
Lineage: Eukaryota; Metazoa; Chordata; Lepidosauria; Squamata; Diplodactylidae
Description: tRNA-Glu
Source: RNAcentral